GGAAGAAAAGCGAACAACAAUGGAAGAUGAAAAUGAGAAACUGAGGCAACAGCUCAUAGAAGUUGAGAUAGCAAAGCAAGCAUUGCAGAAUGAACUGGAAAAAACGAAGGAGAAUUGUUGGAUAUUGCAAAGCAACUGGAAAGCUCUCUUUAGAAGACAACAAAUGUAGAAAGGCUGGUUUCAAGGUCCAACUCCGCUUUGCACAUACUCUCUGCCCAAAUCUGGGAGGUAAUUCUGUGUGGAGGCUGAGAGGACUGGUCUAGGCAAAGGAGGAUGGUGGCCUUCAUCAGAGGGGCAGCUGUGGAACUGAACACAUCUGACAUGCCUUCAGACACCAGGAUGAACAGUACAUUGACCCAUGCAUUCAGCAGCUAAAAUGUGCCAGGGCUGUGAAUUCCUGCAUUUAUCUACUUUUGUUUUCCUGUGUAGACACAAGGCUGCCUGGCCUCCCAGAGAGCUGGUAUCACCAAGGCAAUGGACAUGCGUUUGAACAAACUCUGGGAGAUAGUGAAGGACAAGGGAAGCCUCGUGUGCUGCAGUCCAUGGCGUCACAGAGUUGGACGUGACUUAGCAACCAAACAACAAUUGCACAGAACUGUUGCAAGGAUUUGACGAGAUAAUACUACGUCACCUCCAUAAAGGAGGAGCUGGUCUUGUCUGAAGUCAAUAAAUGGUCUCGGCCAUUCCUCCACACUGUCUAAGUUACUAUGAAUGACCUCGUCAUUGUGAACUGGCGUUGGGUUGAUUGUGUGAUCGCUUGAGAAGAGGCAGGGAGAGUGGAACCAGUUCAGAUGGAGGCUCGGAG
Molecule: long non-coding RNA, 805 nt
Organism: Bos taurus (domestic cattle)
Lineage: Eukaryota; Metazoa; Chordata; Mammalia; Artiodactyla; Bovidae
Source: Ensembl